UACGUAGGUGGCAAGCGUUGUCCGGAUUUACUGGGCGUAAAGAGCGCGCAGGCGGCCAAGUCAGUCGAAUGUGAAAGCCCCCGGCUUAACUGGGGAGGGUCAUUCGAUACUGCUCGGCUCGAAGACAGGAGAGGGAAGUGGAAUUCCCGGUGUAGUGGUGAAAUGCGUAGAUAUCGGGAGGAACACCAGUGGCGAAGGCGACUACCUGGCCUGUUUCUUGACGCUGAGGCGCGAAAGCUAGGGGAGCAAACGGG
This 254-nucleotide ribosomal RNA is filed under the name uncultured bacterium. RNAcentral's name for it is "partial 16S ribosomal RNA". It matches the Rfam family "Bacterial small subunit ribosomal RNA", at positions 524 to 776 of the family's 1533-position model. The record is from RNAcentral.